UCAAAGAUUAAGCCAUGCAUGCCUAAGUCCAGCCGAGUAUAUCUCUUCGGGGAUGACUCAGCGAAACCGCGGACGGCUCAUUAAAUCAGUUGUGGUCUAAAUGGGCGACAGUUAUUUUUUGGAUAACUGUGGUAAUUCCAGAGCUAAUACAUGCGACUAAAGUCCCUAGCCUUCAUGGGCGACGGAUGCUUUUAUUAGACCGAGGUGAACGGCUGUUUCUUCUUCGGAGGUUUCAGUACGCGAUGCUAAAGGUGACUCUGGAUAACACUUGAUAAGCGCACGCAACACUUAGUGAGCGGCGCUGCCACUUUCGAGUGACUGCCUUAUCAGCUAGUAACGUUUGUUAUGCGCAAACGCUGGCUCUGACGGGUAACGGGGAAUCAGGGCUCGAUUCCGGAGAGGCAGCCUGAGAAACGGCUACCACGUCCAAGGAAGG
This 436-nucleotide ribosomal RNA is filed under the name Paraphronima sp. USNM 1429801. RNAcentral's name for it is "SSU rRNA". It matches the Rfam family "Eukaryotic small subunit ribosomal RNA", at positions 37 to 425 of the family's 1831-position model. Lineage: Eukaryota; Metazoa; Arthropoda; Malacostraca; Amphipoda; Paraphronimidae. The record is from RNAcentral.